Molecule: ribosomal RNA, 468 nt
Filed under: uncultured bacterium
Lineage: Bacteria
Description: partial 16S ribosomal RNA
Rfam family: Bacterial small subunit ribosomal RNA
Source: RNAcentral
GACGAACGCUGGCGGCGUGCUUAACACAUGCAAGUCGAACGGAAAGGCCCUGCUUUUGUGGGGUGCUCGAGUGGCGAACGGGUGAGUAACACGUGAGUAACCUGCCCUUGACUUUGGGAUAACUUCAGGAAACUGGGGCUAAUACCGGAUAGGAGCUCCUGCUGCAUGGUGGGGGUUGGAAAGUUUCGGCGGUUGGGGAUGGACUCGCGGCUUAUCAGCUUGUUGGUGGGGUAGUGGCUUACCAAGGCUUUGACGGGUAGCCGGCCUGAGAGGGUGACCGGCCACAUUGGGACUGAGAUACAGCCCAGACUCCUACGGGAGGCAGCAGUGGGGAAUAUUGCACAAUGGGCGGAAGCCUGAGGCAGCAACGCCGCGUGCGGGAUGACGGCCUUCGGGUUGUAAACCGCUUUCGCCUGUGACGAAGCGUGAGUGACGGUAAUGGGUAAAGAAGCACCGGCUAACUACGUG